AUGCACAAGAAGAAGAGGAGGCUACUGCCAUUUGUGCUCACUGAAGAUAGAGUUCGAAGGCUUGAACAGAUGGCUUCUGCUGCCACUGCAUUGACAUCUUCGAAAAUGGAGUUCAGUAAUGAGCUGACUUUUGUGUCGAGUAUGGCCCCUAUAUCUGCCAAUCAAGCAAAGCUGAAGGAAGGUGGUAUGCAGGUUCUUUCAAAAGAGGACAAAGAAGCCAUCGAACUUUGCAGAAGCAUGUUGAAAAGAGGAGAAUGCCCUCCACUUCUGGUGGUUUUUGAUUCCCAUGAGGGCUUCAUUGUGCAGGCAGAUGCAUAUAUUAAGAGCAUCUCCACUCUCGCCCCUGAACAGGCUCUCAGGGCGCCUUUUUUAGCGUCGGCGGUAAAAAAUCGGCCCAGUCGUGCCCCAACUCCU
Molecule: ribosomal RNA, 414 nt
Filed under: Triticum aestivum (bread wheat)
Lineage: Eukaryota; Viridiplantae; Streptophyta; Magnoliopsida; Poales; Poaceae
Description: partial small subunit ribosomal RNA
Source: RNAcentral